AAGGGCGCACGGUGGAUGCCUUGGCACUAGGAGCCGAAGAAGGACGUGACAAACGACGAAAUGCCUCGGGGAGCUGUAAGUAAGCACUUGAUCCGGGGGUGUCCGAAUGGGGGAACCCAACAGGUUGAUGCCUGUUACCCAUUUC
RNAcentral lists this small RNA (145 nucleotides) under Streptococcus sanguinis SK355. It matches the Rfam family "Bacterial large subunit ribosomal RNA", at positions 13 to 158 of the family's 2925-position model. The record is from RNAcentral. Lineage: Bacteria; Bacillati; Bacillota; Bacilli; Lactobacillales; Streptococcaceae.